UACGUAGGGUGCAAGCGUUGUCCGGAAUUAUUGGGCGUAAAGAGCUCGUAGGCGGUUUGUCGCGUCUGCUGUGAAAACCCGAGGCUCAACCUCGGGCCUGCAGUGGGUACGGGCAGGCUAGAGUUCGGCAGGGGAGACUGGAAUUCCUGGUGUAGCGGUGAAAUGCGCAGAUAUCAGGAGGAACACCGGUGGCGAAGGCGGGUCUCUGGGCCGAUACUGACACUGAGGAGCGAAAGCGUGGGGAGCGAACAGG
RNAcentral lists this ribosomal RNA (253 nucleotides) under uncultured bacterium. Its description in RNAcentral is "partial 16S ribosomal RNA". It matches the Rfam family "Bacterial small subunit ribosomal RNA", at positions 524 to 776 of the family's 1533-position model. The record is from RNAcentral.